GCCUAGUUAGCUUGGAAGGUAGCGCGUCUGCCUUGUAAGCGUUAGGCCGCGGGUUCGAUUCCCGCCCGGGGCG
Molecule: transfer RNA, 73 nt
Filed under: Diaphorina citri (Asian citrus psyllid)
Lineage: Eukaryota; Metazoa; Arthropoda; Insecta; Hemiptera; Psyllidae
Rfam family: tRNA
About the family: Transfer RNA (tRNA) molecules are approximately 80 nucleotides in length. Their secondary structure includes four short double-helical elements and three loops (D, anti-codon, and T loops).
Source: Rfam by way of RNAcentral